GUACUAAUCUGCGAUAAGCGCCGGUAAGGUGAUAUGAACCGUUAUAACCGGCGAUACCCGAAUGGGGAAACCCAGUGUGAUUCGUCACACUAUCAUUAACUGAAUCCAUAGGUUAAUGAGGCGAACCGGGGGAACUGAAACAUCUAAGUACCCCGAGGAAAAGAAAUCAACCGAGAUUCCCCCAGUAGCGGCGAGCGAACGGGGAGGAGCCCAGAGCCUGAAUCAGCAUGUGUGUUAGUGGAAGCGUCUGGAAAGGCGCGCGAUACAGGGUGACAGCCCCGUACACAAAAGCGCAUGUGCUGUGAGCUCGAUGAGUAGGGCGGGACACGUGGUAUCCUGUCUGAAUAUGGGGGGACCAUCCUCCAAGGCUAAAUACUCCUGACUGACCGAUAGUGAACCAGUACCGUGAGGGAAAGGCGAAAAGAACCCCGGCGAGGGGAGUGAAAAAGAACCUGAAACCGUGU
This 464-nucleotide ribosomal RNA is filed under the name Salmonella enterica subsp. enterica serovar Enteritidis. Its description in RNAcentral is "partial 23S ribosomal RNA". It matches the Rfam family "Bacterial large subunit ribosomal RNA", at positions 58 to 561 of the family's 2925-position model. The record is from RNAcentral. Lineage: Bacteria; Pseudomonadati; Pseudomonadota; Gammaproteobacteria; Enterobacterales; Enterobacteriaceae.